This 1111-nucleotide long non-coding RNA is filed under the name Homo sapiens (human). RNAcentral's name for it is "HSALNT0303905". Lineage: Eukaryota; Metazoa; Chordata; Mammalia; Primates; Hominidae. The record is from RNAcentral.
CCUCGGCCUCCCAAAGUGCUGGGAUUACAAGCGUGAGCCACCGCGCCCGGCCCGCAUCUCUUGUUUGGCUCCCAUGAACAACAUCUUCCCUUUCCUGGCCUGCUGUUGCUCUGGCAUGUGACCAAUUUUUGUGAACAUGUAUGUGAUCCAAAUAUUGACAGUUCACCAUGCCACACCUUACCCCAGCCUCAUCAUAGCAUACUCUAGGGACACAAGAGGCGAUUUCAAGAAACACUAAUAGGAUUGUGAGAAAGUUGGCCAAGGAAGAGGAACAGCCAAUAAACGGUGACUUGUCAAGACAGUUAGGACCCUGGGAGCUAAAUCUGCCUGGAGAACUCUGGAAAUCAGUGUGGAACACAUACUUCAGCAUCAUCUCAGCUAAUGGACAAGUAAGCUUUCUGACUGAAGCCCAUGUUUUGACUGGAGCACCUUGAUUAAACAGAAGACCCUCUGAGGAAACACCACAGACAAAAGUGUACAUGGUAAAUAUUCCUCCAAGAUUUCCCAAAGGAUCAUAUGGCUGUUUUCCAUCAUGAUAGAAAGCAAGAAGAAAAUAUAAAAUAAGCUUUCAGCAAUUUAAAAUGCAGCAGAAGGAGUUACAUGCCAUUUUCCAGAAAAAAAUAUCAACCUGUAGCAGAUUUGCAAUCUGAACCUGAGCUCUGCAUGGACAUUGCCAAACUUCAAGCCAGCAAAUCAAGCUGAGAGAACAUCUCCUGAGGUCCCUGCCUCCUGCCUCACAUCUCGUACAUCUUGAUUACCUUGCUGAGGCUGCUCUAUUGACCUUAAGCCAGCCUCACAGCAGAGAAAAGAUUUCCAGAAAGACUUUUAUUUAUCAUUCUGUGGAAGGAAACUUUGGCUAUAGUUGAUGAGAAUUAAUUUGUCUCCCUUGUCACCUCCAUGCAAAAUGCAAUUCUGAAUAGUUUCUUAGUAGAUGGUCCAGAGACUUCAAGAGAUCUAGCAAUUAGCUCUUAGCAAGUGGAUGCUUUAGUAAGUGGCUUUGACAUAGCCUCAAAUGUUUCUAUGUCCUUUCAUAACUUAAUCCUAGCCUUGUCUUGCUCUCCUGUUAUUUAGAAUUGCAUGCAAACCUAGUAUCAGGCUCUGCUUUCAGGUG